UACGUAGGUGGCAAGCGUUGUCCGGAUUUAUUGGGCGUAAAGCGCGCGCAGGCGGCUAUGUAAGUCUGGUGUUAAAGCCCGGGGCUCAACCCCGGUUCGCAUCGGAAACUGUGUAGCUUGAGUGCAGAAGAGGAAAGCGGUAUUCCACGUGUAGCGGUGAAAUGCGUAGAGAUGUGGAGGAACACCAGUGGCGAAGGCGGCUUACUGGUCCAUUACUGACGCUGAGGUGCGAAAGCGUGGGGAGCAAACAGG
RNAcentral lists this ribosomal RNA (252 nucleotides) under uncultured bacterium. RNAcentral's name for it is "partial 16S ribosomal RNA". It matches the Rfam family "Bacterial small subunit ribosomal RNA", at positions 524 to 776 of the family's 1533-position model. The record is from RNAcentral.